UGGGGAAUAUUGCACAAUGGGCGCAAGCCUGAUGCAGCCAUGCCGCGUGUGUGAAGAAGGCCUUCGGGUUGUAAAGCACUUUCAGCGAGGAGGAAGGUGGUGAGCUUAAUACGCUCAUCAAUUGACGUUACUCGCAGAAGAAGCACCGGCUAACUCCGUGCCAGCAGCCGCGGUAAUACGGAGGGUGCAAGCGUUAAUCGGAAUUACUGGGCGUAAAGCGCACGCAGGCGGUUUGUUAAGUCAGAUGUGAAAUCCCCGGGCUCAACCUGGGAACUGCAUUUGAAACUGGCAAGCUAGAGUCUCGUAGAGGGGGGUAGAAUUCCAGGUGUAGCGGUGAAAUGCGUAGAGAUCUGGAGGAAUACCGGUGGCGAAGGCGGCCCCCUGGACGAAGACUGACGCUCAGGUGCGAAAGCGUGGGGAGCAAAACAGGAUUAGAUACCCUGGUAGUCCACGCUGUAAAACGAUGUCGAUUUUGGAGGUUGUGCCCUUGAGGCGUGGCUUCCGGAGCUAACGCGUUAAAUCGACCGCCUGGGGAGUACGGCCGCAAGGUUAAAACUCAAAGGAAUUGACGGGGUC
Molecule: ribosomal RNA, 576 nt
Filed under: uncultured bacterium
Lineage: Bacteria
Description: partial 16S ribosomal RNA
Rfam family: Bacterial small subunit ribosomal RNA
Source: RNAcentral